This 200-nucleotide ribosomal RNA is filed under the name uncultured Actinomycetales bacterium. Its description in RNAcentral is "partial 16S ribosomal RNA". It matches the Rfam family "Bacterial small subunit ribosomal RNA", at positions 128 to 334 of the family's 1533-position model. Lineage: Bacteria; Bacillati; Actinomycetota; Actinomycetes; Actinomycetales. The record is from RNAcentral.
UCCUCACUUCGGGAUAAGCCUGGGAAACUGGGUCUAAUACCGGAUAGGACCAUGCUUUAGUGUGUGUGGUGGAAAGUUUUUCGGUGCAAGAUGAGCCCGCGGCCUAUCAGCUUGUUGGUGGGGUAAUGGCCUACCAAGGCGACGACGGGUAGCCGGCCUGAGAGGGUGUACGGCCACAUUGGGACUGGGACACGGCCCAG